AUUGAACGCUGGCGGCAUGCCUUACACAUGCAAGUCGAACGGCAGCACGGGUGCUUGCACCUGGUGGCGAGUGGCGAACGGGUGAGUAAUACAUCGGAACAUGUCCUGUAGUGGGGGAUAGCCCGGCGAAAGCCGGAUUAAUACCGCAUACGAUCUACGGAUGAAAGCGGGGGCCCUUCGGGCCUCGCGCUAUAGGGUUGGCAGAUGGCUGAUUAGCUAGUUGGUGGGGUAAAGGCCUACCAAGGCGACGAUCAGUAGCUGGUCUGAGAGGACGACCAGCCACACUGGGACUGAGACACGGCCCAGACUCCUACGGGAGGCAGCAGUGGGGAAUUUUGGACAAUGGGCGAAAGCCUGAUCCAGCAAUGCCGCGUGUGUGAAGAAGGCCUUCGGGUUGUAAAGCACUUUUGUCCGGAAAGAAAUCCUUGGCCCUAAUACGGUCGGGGGAUGACGGUACCGGAAGAAUAAGCACCGGCUAACUACGUG
RNAcentral lists this ribosomal RNA (486 nucleotides) under uncultured bacterium. RNAcentral describes it as "partial 16S ribosomal RNA". It matches the Rfam family "Bacterial small subunit ribosomal RNA", at positions 30 to 507 of the family's 1533-position model. The record is from RNAcentral.